UAGGGAAUAUUGGUAAUCUGGGAAACCGUGAACCAGCAACGCCGCGUGCGCGAUGAAGGCCUUCGGGUUGUAAAGCGCUUUUUAAAGGGGUGAGGAAGGACAGUACCUUUAGAAUAAGCCUCGGCUAACUACGUGCCAGCAGCCGCGGUAAAACGUAGGAGGCGAGCGUUAUCCGGAUUUACUGGGCGUAAAGCGUGUGCAGGCGGUUUGAUAAGUUGGGUGUGAAAGCUCCUGGCUUAACCGGGAGAGGUCGUUCAAAACUAUCAGACUAGAGAGUGGUAGAGGGAGAUGGAAUUCCGCGUGUAGUGGUGAAAUGCGUAGAUAUGCGGAGGAACACCAGUGGCGAAAGCGGUCUCCUGGCCCAUUUCUGACGCUCAGACACGAAAGCUAAGGUAGCAAACGG
RNAcentral lists this ribosomal RNA (403 nucleotides) under uncultured bacterium. RNAcentral describes it as "bacterial SSU rRNA". It matches the Rfam family "Bacterial small subunit ribosomal RNA", at positions 355 to 775 of the family's 1533-position model. The record is from RNAcentral.